Molecule: long non-coding RNA, 1130 nt
Filed under: Drosophila guanche
Lineage: Eukaryota; Metazoa; Arthropoda; Insecta; Diptera; Drosophilidae
Source: RNAcentral
GUGAGAGGAAUGCUUUUCCAAUACAUUUCAAAUACUUAGUUCCGUUUAUGUAAUGUGUGUAUCACUCUUACAAAUCACUGCAUUUAAACGAUAACUAAAUUAGUUUUUCCUUUUAGUCCGUGCAGUUUAGUCCACAUUUCUUUGCUAUAUGAACUCCAGCUGCUUCUUGUUCUGUCUAUUCAAGCAAAAUUAAAAUCUAUAUUUACUUAGUUCUCAUAUCUAAUGUACCUUGCCGACAUUUCACGUCUUCGCUACAUUUCAACACCUCAAUGAUUAAUGCAAAGGCAAAAAUAGGUACGACUUCGUGUCCCUUACAUCCAAGUUCAUUGCCUGUAAAUCUCUGGACCAUUAUGCAAAAGGCUUGAAGCACAUACUGGCACUGGGAUCCAGGCACGUCUUGUAAUAUAUGAGCAGGCAUCAGGCAGAGAAAUGUUAGUUUUCAGACUGCAUCUGGUGAAUAGUUCCCAUCUGGCACACUGCCUUUAUUAAUGAGACACUUGACAGGGCAACCCCAAUGGAGGUUAGAACCAAAGCAAGGAAUAUGAAAAGCGGAACUUGCUUCGAACGCGAAAUCUUGUGGUUUUUGGAUCUAUCUAGCGCUCGAAUCGUACUCAAAAAAUGCCUGGCAUCUCGGUUCUCCUAUCCUUUGUUUCCAUGGCACCUAUCAGGUUACACAGCUACAAUUUACUGUAGGUCAUCUAAUCAACUUGUGUGGCAAAAGCGGAGCACGAAAUGUUUUAAAUGUGAAGAAAAAGCACAACAUUCAAACUAAAAAAAAAACGAAGGUCUGCUGCUUUGACAAGUAACGCUGUUAACACUUUUUUCAGGUCAUGGACAGAAUACUCUUUAUGCUCUAACAGGAUUAAAAUAGUGCAGCAACUUUACUUUUCUUGAGGAAAAACAAACAGAAACUUGACGGUAGGGCUAACGAUUUUUCCAGCUUGCUCUUCUUGAUAUUGCCGCUGCCCCUUUAGUUUCAUUAACAAGCUUCAUAAUCAAAGCAAACGGAGAGAGGAGUUUGCUGCAUCUUCUACCUACCAUUAUUUGUAUGUCCAUUAUUCAUUUUUAAGACCUUUUACGCACAAAUUGAGUCAGAUUAUUCAAUUAAUAUUUAAUUUCAAAUAUUUACU